AUUGAACGCUGGCGGCAGGCCUAACACAUGCAAGUCGAACGAGUGGCGGACGGGUGAGUAAUGUCUGGGCAACUGGCUUAUGGAGGGGGAUAACUACGGGAAACUGUAGCUAAUACCGCUUACCAUCCGAUGGGCCCAAGUGGGAUUAGGUAGUUGGUGGGGUAAAGGCUCACCAAGGCGACGAUCCCUAGCUGGUCUGAGAGGAUGACCAGCCACACUGGGACUGAGACACGGCCCAGACUCCUACGGGAGGCAGCAGUGGGGAAUAUUGCGCAAUGGGCGAAAGCCUGAUGCAGCAAUGCCGCGUGAAUGAAGAAGGCCUUCGGGUUGUAAAGUUCUUUCGGUGGCGAGGCGUUAACUGCAGAAGAAGCACCGGCUAACUCCGUGCCAGCAGCCGCGGUAAUUC
This 406-nucleotide ribosomal RNA is filed under the name uncultured bacterium. RNAcentral's name for it is "partial 16S ribosomal RNA". It matches the Rfam family "Bacterial small subunit ribosomal RNA", at positions 30 to 526 of the family's 1533-position model. The record is from RNAcentral.